UACGAAGGUGGCAAGCGUUGUUCGGAUUUACUGGGCGUACAGGGAGCGUAGGCGGUUCGGUAAGCCCUCUGUGAAAUCUCCAGGCUUAACCUGGAACAGUCGGAGGGGACUGCCGGGCUAGAGGACGGGAGAGGAGCGCGGAAUUCCCGGUGUAGCGGUGAAAUGCGUAGAGAUCGGGAGGAAGGCCGGUGGCGAAGGCGGCAUCCUGGACUACUACUGACGCUGAGUGAGCGAAAGCCAGGGGAGCAAACGGG
RNAcentral lists this ribosomal RNA (254 nucleotides) under uncultured prokaryote. Its description in RNAcentral is "partial 16S ribosomal RNA". It matches the Rfam family "Bacterial small subunit ribosomal RNA", at positions 524 to 776 of the family's 1533-position model. The record is from RNAcentral.